RNAcentral lists this ribosomal RNA (404 nucleotides) under Brucella melitensis. RNAcentral's name for it is "partial 16S ribosomal RNA". It matches the Rfam family "Bacterial small subunit ribosomal RNA", at positions 355 to 776 of the family's 1533-position model. RNAcentral also lists the same sequence under 2 other names. The record is from RNAcentral. Lineage: Bacteria; Pseudomonadati; Pseudomonadota; Alphaproteobacteria; Hyphomicrobiales; Brucellaceae.
UGGGGAAUAUUGGACAAUGGGCGCAAGCCUGAUCCAGCCAUGCCGCGUGAGUGAUGAAGGCCCUAGGGUUGUAAAGCUCUUUCACCGGUGAAGAUAAUGACGGUAACCGGAGAAGAAGCCCCGGCUAACUUCGUGCCAGCAGCCGCGGUAAUACGAAGGGGGCUAGCGUUGUUCGGAUUUACUGGGCGUAAAGCGCACGUAGGCGGACUUUUAAGUCAGGGGUGAAAUCCCGGGGCUCAACCCCGGAACUGCCUUUGAUGCUGGAAGUCUUGAGUAUGGUAGAGGUGAGUGGAAUUCCGAGUGUAGAGGUGAAAUUCGUAGAUAUUCGGAGGAACACCAGUGGCGAAGGCGGCUCACUGGACCAUUACUGACGCUGAGGUGCGAAAGCGUGGGGAGCAAACAGG